UUUUUUGUUUUGACGGUAAUUCUUAUUCACGCAUUUUGCCGCAAUUUUCUAGCGUCAACAAAAAACUUUCAAAUGUUUAUUUUUUCAUGAAAAAGUAAUUAUUCCAAGAAUGAAUGUUAGAAUAAAAAUGUGA
Molecule: long non-coding RNA, 133 nt
Organism: Cotesia glomerata
Lineage: Eukaryota; Metazoa; Arthropoda; Insecta; Hymenoptera; Braconidae
Exons: 2
Source: RefSeq, a predicted model, not a curated record